This is a long non-coding RNA of Xyrauchen texanus (razorback sucker), 749 nucleotides long. RefSeq lists it as uncharacterized. Lineage: Eukaryota; Metazoa; Chordata; Actinopteri; Cypriniformes; Catostomidae. The transcript is spliced from 3 exons. The record is from RefSeq and is a predicted model, not a curated record.
GUGGUGUUUCGUCGUAUCAUUCAGUUGUGCCAGUUUCAGAGAGUUUCUCUAUCUCAUUUAUACACACACACAGACACUGAUUUCUUCUCCUACACGGCUCAGGAAACUAUACUGGAUAUAAAAAAGCUAUAUGAAAUGUAUCUUAUGUAUUUGAGUUUAAGAGGAAGCUUUAAUGGGAAGUUGUGACAACCAUUUGUGACAUUUUUGUCACAGGAUACUACAACUCUUGGCUCUACAUAAACUGAAAGAAGAAGCAGAAAAGCAAGGCAUCAACCACCAGCCAGUUACGCUGGGCAAAAACAUCCAAACUUGGUUAUUUAGUAACUUUGGAUCACUGGUUGAACUGAGGAAUUUCAGACCAUUCUUCCCUUAGAUCAAGUCUGGGCAAGUCUAGAUGUGUGAUCCAGGCAGUGAGAACAAACUAAGACAAGUAGAGGCUGAAGAUGCUUUACUUGAAGAGCGCUCUGAUCAGAUGGCUGACUUGCACACUGUCACCUGCUGUCAAGGUCUACACGCAAGUCCCUUCUGCAAGGACACUGACCACCGGAAAUUAGCCAUAUGCAGCAUUGUAUGUGGGCUCUCCUGCAUUGGUAUUAUGUCCCUUAUCUACUCUGUCAAGGCUCGACAGACAAGAAAAACACUUCCAAAUGACAAUGGAUUGGGAGCACAAGGAAAUUCAAAGGUUAAGGAGUACUCAAGAAAAGCUUUGAAAUGGGGAAUAGGGUCAAUUGUGGCCUGGGUGGUUCUAA